AUUGAACGCUGGCGGCGUGCCUAACACAUGCAAGUCGAGCGGUAACGCGGGAGCAGUCCUGGCGACGAGCGGCGAACGGGUGAGUAAUGCUUCGGAAUCUGCCCAAUGGUGGGGAAUAACCAGCCGAAAGGUUGGCUAAUACCGCAUAGGUCCUAAGGGAGAAAGCGGGGGAUCGUAAGACCUCGCGCCGAUGGAUGAGCCGAAGUCGGAUUAGCUAGUUGGUAGGUAACGGCCUACCAAGGCGACGAUCCGUAGCUGGUCUGAGAGGACGACCAGCCACACUGGGACUGAGACACGGCCCAGACUCCUACGGGAGGCAGCAGUGGGGAAUAUUGGACAAUGGGGGAAACCCUGAUCCAGCGACGCCGCGUGUGUGAAGAAGGCCUGCGGGUUGUAAAGCACUUUUAGUGGGGAUGAAAAGCUCAGAGCUAAUACCUCUGGGUCUUUGACCUAACCACAGAAAAGCACCGGCUAACUCUGUGCCAGCCGCCGCAGUAAG
Molecule: ribosomal RNA, 499 nt
Filed under: uncultured bacterium
Lineage: Bacteria
Description: bacterial SSU rRNA
Rfam family: Bacterial small subunit ribosomal RNA
Source: RNAcentral